CGCAGUGGAAUUCCAAUUGAGGUUGGAAAGGGAAAAGUUCUUAUAGAGGGUAAAGAUGUUGCUUUGCUUGGGUAUGGGGCAAUGGUUCAGAACUGCCUCAAAGCUCGGCACCUUCUUUCAAAGCUUGGCAUUGAGGUAACUGUUGCUGAUGCAAGAUUCUGCAAACCUCUCGACAUGAAGCUUCUCAGACAACUAUGUGAAAAUCAUGCAUUUCUGGUCACAGUUGAGGAAGGCUCUGUUGGAGGAUUUGGAUCCCAUGUUGCACAGUUCAUGGCUCUUGAUGGACAACUUGAUGGUAGAGUUAAAUGGCGACCUAUCGUUUUACCAGACAGCUAUAUCGAACACGCAUUGCCAAAGGAACAGCUUACUCUUGCUGGGCUGACUGGACACCAUAUUGCUGCAACAGUACUAAGACUGCUUGGUCGCACCCGCGAAGCUCUCCUUUUAAUGUGUUAGAAAUCUAUAUUUUCUCUGCUAUUAUCGCUUAAGAUGUUGAGCCUACAUUGCUUCACUGAUUUUUGUUAAGUAAUUAGUUCAUAUGUGAAAUUAACACUAUAUCUGGCUUGUAAUGAUUGUAAUGAUUAACGCUGCAAUCUGAAUUUUUUUUUUUUUUUUUUUUUUUU
Molecule: unclassified non-coding RNA, 623 nt
Filed under: Hevea brasiliensis (rubber tree)
Lineage: Eukaryota; Viridiplantae; Streptophyta; Magnoliopsida; Malpighiales; Euphorbiaceae
Source: RNAcentral